GCCGGGCGCGGUGGCGGGCGCCUGUAGUCCCAGCUACUCGGAGGCUGAGGCGGGAGAAUAGCGUGAACCCGGGAGGCGGAGCUUGCAGUGAGCCGAGAUCGCGCCACUGCACUCCAGCCUGGGUGACAGAGUGAGACUCCGUCUCAA
This 147-nucleotide small RNA is filed under the name Macaca mulatta (Rhesus monkey). Its description in RNAcentral is "Metazoan signal recognition particle RNA (ENSMMUG00000054957.1)". The record is from Rfam by way of RNAcentral. Lineage: Eukaryota; Metazoa; Chordata; Mammalia; Primates; Cercopithecidae.